AUCCCCCAGGAGGAUGUCUCUUCUCCCUACUGACCUUUGUUUUGUCUAGGCUCCACCUCCUCUGUCCUGAUUGGAUGCUGCUCGGAGUCCAGCUAAUUGUUAAUUAGCAGAGCACUACUUAAGGCCUAGGUUGCUGUGUUUCUGGGCCCUCAGGCCAUUUUGGUUGCCAUACCUGUGCUGACAGUAUGUGACUUGUAGGUGCUUGUUCUGACUGCUUGUAGGGGAGAGCUGCCUUUUGUUUUGACAUCCUGUUUUCUCCUGUUUAUGUGUGGUUAGGUAGGUUAUGGUUAUAGGUUGCAUAUUUUGUUUUCUUUGGAGUUAGGUGUGUGUAUUUUAUUUUUACAUUAGGGAUGUUUUGUUUGUUAUGUUGGCCUUGGCUCUCCCUGAAGUUAUACCUCAGUCUGAACCCAAAUCUCAUCACCUGCAUUAAAUAAACCUUUUAGAUUUAC
Long non-coding RNA from Brienomyrus brachyistius, 449 nucleotides. RefSeq lists it as uncharacterized. The transcript has 2 exons. The record is from RefSeq and is a predicted model, not a curated record. NCBI's taxonomy places the organism in Eukaryota, Metazoa, Chordata, Actinopteri, Osteoglossiformes, Mormyridae.